RNAcentral lists this ribosomal RNA (1506 nucleotides) under metagenome. RNAcentral describes it as "bacterial SSU rRNA". It matches the Rfam family "Bacterial small subunit ribosomal RNA". The record is from RNAcentral.
AGAGUUUGAUCAUGGCUCAGGACGAACGCUGGCGGCGUGCCUAAUACAUGCAAGUAGAACGCUGAAGAGAGGAGCUUGCUCUUCUUGGAUGAGUUGCGAACGGGUGAGUAACGCGUAGGUAACCUGCCUUGUAGCGGGGGAUAACUAUUGGAAACGAUAGCUAAUACCGCAUAACAAUGGAUGACCCAUGUCAUUUAUUUGAAAGGGGCAAAUGCUCCACUACAAGAUGGACCUGCGUUGUAUUAGCUAGUAGGUGAGGUAACGGCUCACCUAGGCGACGAUACAUAGCCGACCUGAGAGGGUGAUCGGCCACACUGGGACUGAGACACGGCCCAGACUCCUACGGGAGGCAGCAGUAGGGAAUCUUCGGCAAUGGGGGCAACCCUGACCGAGCAACGCCGCGUGAGUGAAGAAGGUUUUCGGAUCGUAAAGCUCUGUUGUAAGUCAAGAACGAGUGUGAGAGUGGAAAGUUCACACUGUGACGGUAGCUUACCAGAAAGGGACGGCUAACUACGUGCCAGCAGCCGCGGUAAUACGUAGGUCCCGAGCGUUGUCCGGAUUUAUUGGGCGUAAAGCGAGCGCAGGCGGUUUGAUAAGUCUGAAGUUAAAGGCUGUGGCUCAACCAUAGUUCGCUUUGGAAACUGUCAAACUUGAGUGCAGAAGGGGAGAGUGGAAUUCCAUGUGUAGCGGUGAAAUGCGUAGAUAUAUGGAGGAACACCGGUGGCGAAAGCGGCUCUCUGGUCUGUAACUGACGCUGAGGCUCGAAAGCGUGGGGAGCGAACAGGAUUAGAUACCCUGGUAGUCCACGCCGUAAACGAUGAGUGCUAGGUGUUGGAUCCUUUCCGGGAUUCAGUGCCGCAGCUAACGCAUUAAGCACUCCGCCUGGGGAGUACGUCCGCAAGGUUGAAACUCAAAGGAAUUGACGGGGGCCCGCACAAGCGGUGGAGCAUGUGGUUUAAUUCGAAGCAACGCGAAGAACCUUACCAGGUCUUGACAUCCCGAUGCUAUUUCUAGAGAUAGAAAGUUACUUCGGUACAUCGGUGACAGGUGGUGCAUGGUUGUCGUCAGCUCGUGUCGUGAGAUGUUGGGUUAAGUCCCGCAACGAGCGCAACCCCUAUUGUUAGUUGCCAUCAUUCAGUUGGGCACUCUAGCGAGACUGCCGGUAAUAAACCGGAGGAAGGUGGGGAUGACGUCAAAUCAUCAUGCCCCUUAUGACCUGGGCUACACACGUGCUACAAUGGUUGGUACAACGAGUUGCGAGUCGGUGACGGCAAGCUAAUCUCUUAAAGCCAAUCUCAGUUCGGAUUGUAGGCUGCAACUCGCCUACAUGAAGUCGGAAUCGCUAGUAAUCGCGGAUCAGCACGCCGCGGUGAAUACGUUCCCGGGCCUUGUACACACCGCCCGUCACACCACGAGAGUUUGUAACACCCGAAGUCGGUGAGGUAACCUUUUGGAGCCAGCCGCCUAAGGUGGGAUAGAUGAUUGGGGUGAAGUCGUAACAAGGUA